AGCACAUGGACUUGCUGUGGGACUGCUGUCCUCAGGUGGUCAAGUGGUUCUAGGGGUCAGAGCUGCCUCAGGAAAAUGGUGGCAGCCUGGCUGGUUACUUGCUGGUGGAUGGAGACGUUGCGUUCAAGGUCGCAGCGAGUGCUUGGUGGCACUGAAGUCACAGAGCCAGUUUGACCCUGGCUGUGCAGGGCCACUCUUACAAAGCUGGGAGCAGAGGACAAGCAGCCCUCCGUGUCUCCAUCCUGCACUGGAAGACCAGCUCUCUGUUGAGCCCACCUUAACCUGUGCCAUGGGUGACCUGUGCUUUGUGGUUUGGUGUGAUGGGACCUGAG
Long non-coding RNA from Catharus ustulatus (Swainson's thrush), 332 nucleotides. RefSeq lists it as uncharacterized. The transcript has 3 exons. The record is from RefSeq and is a predicted model, not a curated record. NCBI's taxonomy places the organism in Eukaryota, Metazoa, Chordata, Aves, Passeriformes, Turdidae.